GCCUGCUUGGCUAAAUGGUACAGCGUGUCACACAGUAUCUAUUCCGAAGCAACUCGUCUUGCUAGUGCCAUAAUGAGAUUAGCGGUUCGAUUCCGCUAGUGGAUA
Molecule: non-coding RNA, 105 nt
Organism: Xylaria sp. FL1777
Lineage: Eukaryota; Fungi; Ascomycota; Sordariomycetes; Xylariales; Xylariaceae
Source: the annotation of a GenBank genome assembly